This is a non-coding RNA of Phasianus colchicus (ring-necked pheasant), 144 nucleotides long. The record is from RefSeq and is a predicted model, not a curated record. NCBI's taxonomy places the organism in Eukaryota, Metazoa, Chordata, Aves, Galliformes, Phasianidae.
CAGGCUUUGGGGAUGAGUCUCCACACCAGGGAGGGCAGGAGGUGAACCUCGUGAACCAAUGCCUGCAGACGGGGUUUGCAGAGAAAGAGGUCCUGCAGGCCUUGUGUGACAGCCACGGAGCUGCAGCGAGGCUGCAUCAGUGUA